UGGGGAAUAUUGCACAAUGGGGGAAACCCUGAUGCAGCGACGCCGCGUGAGCGAAGAAGUAUUUCGGUAUGUAAAGCUCUAUCAGCAGGGAAGAAGAAAGACGGUACCUGACUAAGAAGCCCCGGCUAACUACGUGCC
RNAcentral lists this ribosomal RNA (138 nucleotides) under uncultured bacterium. Its description in RNAcentral is "partial 16S ribosomal RNA". It matches the Rfam family "Bacterial small subunit ribosomal RNA", at positions 355 to 509 of the family's 1533-position model. The record is from RNAcentral.